CAACAGAAAAUGUCAAUCCAAACAGAAGCUGUUUUAAGUUUUAUGGUUUUAGGAAAUUGGAAACUAUUUUUAAAUGAAUUUUAUCAGGCUUCAGACUCAAUCUACUUGCUUUAAAAAUUAAUUAUUCUUCACUAAACCGACUUUAAAUUAAUCAAAGUAUAUAUAGUUUUCUUCAGUGCACUCUUUCCCCUACGAAUCAUAGACAAUUGAAAUGAAAUUGAUUGAAAUGCGAUUAGCAAAAUGAAUAUCAAACUUCAGCAGCCGCAGUCACAGUCUAACGCUAAAAUGUUUUGUUCAAUUGAAUAAUCACACCUAUGACAGCAAAACCGAUCAGUAGGCUAUUUUUAUGGCCCCGACUCCGGAUUCAAUUGUUUUUCGGCCAUUUUCCUGCAAAGUCACGAAAUCUUUGUGGCGCUUUGACAAUUUUGUUUAUUUACUUUAUAUAAUGCAAUGAGAUAAUCAAGGUGUUGUGUCAGGCGAAGAGUACCCAUUUCGGAUCAGGUGUCACCUAUAUAAAGCCUAGAUCUCUAUGAUGAUCUCAGCGAUAAAACUGUGAAAGUUCUAGCUUUUAAAUCAGAAGACCCCCACGCAAUGCCAGCAUUAAAUGGAGUCAGUCAUGGUGCUCCACUUUGGAUUUUAAAAUCCACAAAAAAUUCAAAUAUGUAAGAAUAUUUUUGUUUUGUUAUUUUGGAACAGCAUGACCUACGCUAAUAGGGAAGAGAAAGAACUAGCGAAAAAUAAACUAAUUUUAGCAGUUGCGACAUCGCCAAAAUAUCAGAAUAUCGAGCCAGAACCAGAGCCCGAGUCACAGCCAGGGGCAUCGAUAGCAACAACAAAAGUUCGCUGAACUGCACAAAAGCUACAAAAUAUAAUAAUAAGACAAAGCCGGGCUUCAUUAGCCCUGGCCAUCAUCAUCUUGGCCAAAGAAAGCAGCUGCCGAAGAUUCGAACGGACAAAAAAUGCACACAAAUCAACGUUAGAAUUUGGAAUUCCAUUGGGAACAAAGCGGAGAAAGAUGGGGAGAAUCCGGAGAUCGACCGAUGGUCGGUGGUUGGGGUAUGGUGGAUCCAUGGUGGAUCGAUGAAUUCCUGGUAUUGCCAGCCCAUCGCCUAGCUCUAUCGCCCGACAACGACAGCUUAUUAGUUUAUAGUAUCAACAAUACAAAUUAAAGAACCCCACCACCUCGAACCCGUGACCAACCUCGAACCCGAAGCGACCUCGAAGAAAGGCCGCCGCAGAAAGUCAUCGAACUUUCUCCCUGUUCUUUCGCUGGCUAAUUUCUAUAUUAGGUGUCACGGUGUUUGGCUGUCGGUGGCUCAAUUAAUUACCUCACCAUCACCGAUCAUUUAUAACUCUCGGGAGUCUGGGGAGUCAGCCCGAAAUCUUCCUCUAAUUUGUUACAAUUUGUAAAGUGGGAAUUCUAGCGGGGCUCCCAGGGCGCAAGGUCAAGCACACAAUCACUAAACAAGUUGCUAACUAAAUUGCCGUGACAAGUAUAGUUGGGAGCUGAGAAACCCAUGGAGAACCUGGAGGGAAAAGAAUUAUACAAUCGCGUGAGUCUUCUCAUAGCUGCAAAUCUUUCAGUUGGCCAAUUCUCCUUUGUAAGCGGCGGUGACAUGCGAACAGAAUGGUUAUGGACAGAUGGAUGGUGAAUUGUGUCUCUUGGCAGCCACUUUCCAGCAUCUGAGCUGUAAUUAAUAGCAGCUUACGACUUAGCCGCAAAUUAACCGCAUGAUGGGAUCGUAGGUGUCGCCAGCCAGCUACCAGACGGUUUCUUGUGGGCAGAACAGACUGACCCCAUCCGGGAGAGUUGCGAAACACUCCUACCACUUCCUACCACCUCGACCUAA
This is a long non-coding RNA of Drosophila ananassae, 1850 nucleotides long. RefSeq lists it as uncharacterized. Lineage: Eukaryota; Metazoa; Arthropoda; Insecta; Diptera; Drosophilidae. The transcript is spliced from 3 exons. The record is from RefSeq and is a predicted model, not a curated record.